UUCAUGGAAUCAUCCGAUCGAGACGGGGUCGGGGAACCCACCGGCGACAGCCGGACGGGUCGGACGGCACGGACAUCACCGUGCCGGCCGCGAUCCCUGGGGUGAAGCCGGACGCGACGCGUCCGCCGGGCAUCCCUUCCGCCCGAACCCGACAGCUAACCCCGACGGCGAAUCACCGAAAUCAA
This 185-nucleotide small RNA is filed under the name Corynebacterium xerosis. RNAcentral describes it as "c-di-AMP sequence". It matches the Rfam family "c-di-AMP riboswitch aptamer (ydaO/yuaA leader)". Rfam says of the family: This family represents a conserved RNA structure found upstream of the ydaO and yuaA genes in Bacillus subtilis and related genes in other bacteria. The ydaO/yuaA element is thought to act as a genetic "off" switch for the ydaO and yuaA genes in its native state. It is believed that the element may be triggered during osmotic shock leading to activation of ydaO, a predicted amino acid transporter gene, and members of the yuaA-yubG operon which code for KtrA and KtrB K+ transporters. The record is from RNAcentral. Lineage: Bacteria; Bacillati; Actinomycetota; Actinomycetes; Mycobacteriales; Corynebacteriaceae.